This 359-nucleotide transfer RNA is filed under the name Microcystis sp. MG. The stretch from base 135 to 208 matches the Rfam family "tRNA". The record is from RNAcentral. RNAcentral also lists the same sequence under 4 other names. Lineage: Bacteria; Bacillati; Cyanobacteriota; Cyanophyceae; Chroococcales; Microcystaceae.
AAGGGAGACCUAAUUCAGGUAGGAGACGAAAAAAAAGUAGUCGCUACCAAGAAUCAAUCCCAAAAGGUCGGAGCGAGGCGAAAUUGGCUUUCAAACUAGGUUCUGGGUUCAAACAAGACCUGAAUCAGGAACAAGGGCUAUUAGCUCAGGUGGUUAGAGCGCACCCCUGAUAAGGGUGAGGUCCCUGGUUCGAGUCCAGGAUGGCCCACCUGCACAGGUGGCAAAAACAAGAGAAGCGAGGAAUCAGCACCUUAUCUUACUUAUAUAGUAAGAGAGAAUGCUGGCUCUGAGUAAAGAGUCCAGAGGAACCUUGAAAACUGCAUAGAGCUAGGUGAAAAAGCCAAAAAAGAAGACCGCAA